Molecule: long non-coding RNA, 481 nt
Organism: Alosa sapidissima (American shad)
Lineage: Eukaryota; Metazoa; Chordata; Actinopteri; Clupeiformes; Clupeidae
Exons: 3
Source: RefSeq, a predicted model, not a curated record
UCUGAUCACUAGGUUUCCAUUUUUGAAAGACCACAGCUCCUCUGGCUAUGUAUGUAUCAUUCCUUAGUUGUAUUUUGAUAUUAACAACUUUUUUACGCAACAUAUAUACUGAGUGAGCUUCAUAACUUUGUCUAUACCUACAGGAAACCUUACUGGAGUGCCUAACAAACAAGUUCAAAAAAGAGAGGUCUCCUUUGCUGAACUUAACAAUUGUCCAGGAGAUGAAAAAGAAGUUUGGGACCAAAAGACAAGUGGAAACGAUGUGCCUUUGGAGGAACCUCAACAUCAGAGAGCAAAGAGGCGAAGAACGGAUAUGGAGAUAUCCUCUGGGAAUUUGGAUCCAACACAAGAGAUUUUGUUGGACUUAACCUUCAGAGAGCACAUGAGUGCAAUCAUUGGUGAGCUGCGCCGACGACAGCCAGACCUCCCCAACAUAAUGGACCGAAUGAAGCACACACUACACAAGAGGGUUGAGAACAUG